Gasterosteus aculeatus aculeatus (three-spined stickleback) is the source of this 4380-nucleotide long non-coding RNA. The record is from Ensembl. Lineage: Eukaryota; Metazoa; Chordata; Actinopteri; Perciformes; Gasterosteidae.
CUACAGCUUUCUUGUCUUUGCCAAUAUGAAGACUGCAGGCAGCGGAAGUGUUUAUUUCUUCACUAAGCCGAGGCGAAGCCCCCUCAGCUGCUUUCAGUCUGUCUUGAGGAGUGAGGCCAGUCGGACGCCUCAUUGAUCAUUUCAAGGUAAACAGGAGAUAGUAGUUUCAGGUCUGCAGGGAGGCCACGUCAGGAGAUAAAGAUCGAACCUAACCCAACACAAGACCAGAAUCGCCAACAACAGCAGGAAUAGAACUCCUGAAGACAAAACUGCACGUUGAAACCUCUGCGUCUGAAAAGUGAAGCCCAGUCACUUAAAUGAAGAGAAGAUGAUUGGGGACAAUCUAUGGAGUAGAGGUACGUCCCAGUCAGGGAACCAUCAGGACAUUUCAUCAGAACACAAUGCAAUCAAAACCAUUUUGGUUGCUCGCGCUCGUUUGCGUCGCUUUCAGUUUGGAAAUAUGAUUUGAAACUAAUAUAUAUUAAGACAAUGUUUGGCCACUUUUGACAGUGUCUACUAUACAAGUACCAGGAAGCGUUGUUCAAGACAUCGCCUCUAUUUAUUGCUUUAAUUGACUUCCCAACACUGACUGGCAAUCAACAUAAAGGUUCCAAACUGAUUUCCCUUUUAAAAAUAUUAGUAGGAAAUUGAAUUUAAAGAAAAAACGAUGUUAUUUAUUGGACCUAAAAUAUUUCUUUUCUAUGACAAGGCUUAAAAACAAGGGGCAAUGACUCCUUUUCGAAGGUUCCCACCACUCAUACGUUUUUGUGUUACUUUUCUGCUCAGCUCAGCUGUUUUUCAUGUGAAGUCACGUUUGGGGAUUUUGUACCAGAACCGAAACCUGCACGAACCAACAUCUUUCCUUCUUUGAGGUCAUCACAGUGGCAUCGCUAACGAUCACUAAAAGAAACGUCAACACAAAAGCCGCAGUUUCUACUAGGCACCGGCGAUAAAUAGUAUUUUAUUACCAACUCCUGAUGAAAACCCAUCUGGACGACCCAAUAACACACUUUAAUGUGAUACAGGUUGGGAAGAUGUUACUUUGUCGUGCACCGACUGUGAAGAAGACAGUUCAAGCUGCCACGUGGCGGAUUCUUUCUCUCUCUCAGUGUUCUCGUUUCCUCCUUUCCCCUCAGGAGAAAACAACAAGUUUGUCUGUUUUGUUUCUGGGAGAUUUCCCUGUCUGUCCUUAUUUGGCAACUUUAUCUAAUGUCAUUAAACAGAUUAGUGCAGGCCUAAAUGUCUUCUUUAUGUUUUAAUUCAUAGCCCAAUACUGGCUUUUGAUAUUUCAUUAUUAAAUUCACAACGAGACGUUUUUUGUUGUUGUUUAUGUUCUUUUAUCCGCCAAUUUUCUUUAUUACCUCUAACAUUUUCUUCCCUAUUUCUUUUUAAACUCAUUUCAUCUCCUUGACCGUUCAAGAAUUUUCCAUUUGUCAUCACAUUCCCUCUUUGUUUGCGCUUCACCAACAGUUUUCAAAAAUCUGCUUCAGAUAAAAUUCUCAGUCAAAGAUUUUGCUUUUGUGCCAAGAUAUGUAAACCCCCAAAAAAUGUUUGGAAUAAUGUCCAAUAUUUACUGAAAAUUAAAAAAAAAAUUGACUUUCCAAAACCUUUUUUCCCUCUCACACAGGGUUGAAGCUACGUUCAUGUCCCCAUAUGAGUUUAAAUGAACUGGCUUUGAGAUGAAAUCAAUCAGGACAAUGUGAUCUAUCGCCUUGGAUUUGGUUGCUGGUUAAACGCGUCCAGAAAAGGAACCUGAUAUACUCCUUUUAAUCUGCUCUCUGUUCCCAAAGGUCGGACCCAUGAGGCAGCAAGAGAAACGGAGAACGAGUGGAGAGAUGUAAGAAAUUAUUCUGAUCUCAAUCGCCAUUUACUUGGAACACAACAAAUGGAAAAAAAAACUUCUUGACAUGUUGAAGAUGUUCGGAAACAGUCCCGUGUAACUUUGGAUUUCUUAUCUAUUAAACUAACAAUUUGCUGCGUGACGGCAUCUGUCAGUGCAUCUUUCUGUUAGCUGAUAAAGUCCCAGAAGAAGCUUUGCAUUUUGUAAAUGUUUAAUCAUUUUAAAUAGGAAACACAUGCGGCUCUGAAGGUUAUCCUCAUUAGUUUGUGACCUUUUAUUUUACCCUCCAUUACUUUUUAUCACAUGUUUUGAUUUGCAGCAGAGCAGAAGCAAAUACGCAAUGAAACUAUCCAGAAAUGGUGGAUAAAAAUGUUCCAAAAACGCCCACAGGUAGUACAUUUAUUUCCCCGCAGUCAGUGUUGUUUUGAGCAGUUAGGCCAUAUCGAACGCCCGACACUGGCCACCUUUCUAAAGCGACUACGUUGAGCCCAUUUGAUCGUCUCCACAAAUGUUUACUCGUAAAUAACGUCAUGGAUAUUGGACGUUAAAGCAACCUGCAUUAUCAGGAACCAAGGUCAAAGGUAUUUCUGAAUGACUCAAGUUAAUGUCUUAAAGUCACUUGAACUACUGUGGUACACAGUUAUUUGGGGGCAGCUUUGCAAUCAAAGUAUCCGUUCACAGGCAUCCACAUGUGGAGAAUAACUUUACGCUUAAACGAAAGCAGGCGACGUGUUUGACAAAUAAUGCCUGUUUCGAUCAGUGUUUCUUUUUCAAAUGCACAGAUGGUCAGAAUAUUCCCAAAAUAACGAGCUGUGUUUACAGAAAUCCCGAAAAAUCCUAACCAGCUAAUCAGUAACCCUUGUUUUAGUAGAACAGACAAAUAAAAAUGUAACAGCGGCGCUUGAAUCAACCCUUUAACACCGGCAGAAAUUAAACAUUACACAACAAAAGAUCAAAAAUCGCCUUUAUAAAUUCUGUAUUUUAUGAGAGCUGUCAGAUCAUCUUAUGGAACAAAAACGUAUGGGCUUGAUCUCCCAACAAACCAGACUGUUCACACAAAUGUCUCAUAAUGAGACCUAAGACGAAGCUUUACUUCUGCAGGUGAUUCAAAGUAAUGAGGUUCUUCUAAUUGAAUCACACGAUUCGAUUUUGAGGCCAUCCAGAGAGAUGGUAGCCUGUGCGUGGUGUUCAAACAAAGGUCAGGGCAACGUGGGGAGAAGGAGACAACAGCUGGUGUCAUAAUUCUUGAGGACUUCAGCUGUGUAGGGAAAGAGGGACUGCGACGAGUAAAACCAUUAGACGCCCACGACGAAAGCAAAGUAUAAGAAAACCCAGCCGCCUGAGCGGAGGACCUUCAGAUGGUCCUCACAGAUUAGUUUCCUCCACUCAUGAAGACACGCGUUGAUAAGGCGUCAGAGUAUAGAGGACUUUAAAGAAAGCCACUCCCUCCCUUGCUCACGUCUGGCUCUCCGUACUCACCUGUUCCAGCCAGGCGCGCUUUCCCUCCGACAAACACACCUGACCUGCUCCAGAUGCUUUCCAUUUCCCCACGGUAGUCAACAGCAGAUGACGUAUGUCACGCCUGCAUGUCUCUGAUUCCUCGCCUACUCCUCGCCCCUUCCUGUUCUUGAUCUCAGCCUUUUUUCACGGUGUUAAAUAUUUUGAGCUCGCUCCCCGUUUGAUGUCUUUCUGUUUUUUUUUUGUCUUUCCUGUUCCGUGUCAGUCACAGUUACAGAUCCGUUAUUAUGAUGAAAUGUGUUGAUCAUACAGCUGCUUUACAUGUUUGAGUCCAAGAGGAGAAUCACACAUUGCUGCUCUCUGACACUUGAUUGAUUGACACAAAUCUGUGUUAUCUUUUAUUUUUCUCCUUGACAAUGUUUUCAUUCACGUCUACAUAAUGUAUAACAUAAUAAUAUUUAGUUCUGUUUAUUAUUGUAUUUUACCUAGAAAUCCUGUGAUUGAAUUUAGGAAGUGAUUCUGACAAUAAGGCACUGAUGAACAGGAGAUGGCUGGACUUCUUAGUUUUGAUAAGCUUCCAUGUUCACAAUAAGAUGAUUUUCUCCAGUCGAGCUGUAAUGCGAACUUGGGGAAUUCCCCGCCACAAUGUUCGAUGUAGAAAAUUGGUCAUUUUGAAUUUUAGCACCCGGUUUAUGCUCAUCCCAUUAUGACCACGCUGUACCCGUUUUAGUAAACGCUUCCGACAGGAUGACGUGGCUUAAUCUGGUUUCUUGAACACUCACUGUACUCAUGUGGCCUCACCACCACAACACGUCUAAACCCUUUGGAGCUUCUUUUGGAUGUUUGUGGAGUAACAGAAGUUAUGCUUUAUGGAUGUACAACCUUUGGAGCAUAUAUCGAAAGAUAUCCCAUUACCAGUACCAUCAAAGAUUAAAGUCAUUCUUAAAGCAAACAGGUUUAAACCCAGUAUUAUUAUUAUUAUUAUAUUAGGAAGCUGGUGGUUCGCGACAGACAUUUGCUCUGCUUUUAACAGUCUGUGUUUCUUUAAUAAUGUCAUGACUGGCUUUUGAAGGAGCCUGGAG